Molecule: long non-coding RNA, 325 nt
Filed under: Gallus gallus (chicken)
Lineage: Eukaryota; Metazoa; Chordata; Aves; Galliformes; Phasianidae
Description: lncRNA (ENSGALG00010027451.1)
Source: RNAcentral
GGUAAAUCCAACUCCAUGGAAAUCAACAGAAGGCUUGCAGUUGGUUUUCGUGGUGUCAUGAUUUCAUUCCAUAUUGACGCUGGCACAUCUGUGUUGUUACCCACCACGCUGUUUGCCCAGAAUGAGGAAGGGAGAAGUGCCAAAGAUCCAAGAAAGCUGCUGGUUCUAUCUCCCCUGUUGCUCUGGACCACCACCACCCAAUGGUAGAGGUGAAGUGGGGGACUGCCAGCACUGACAGAAGACCAAAUCUCAGUCUCAGCUUCAAUUGUUGGACUUUCAGUAGAUCUCUGCUCUAAAAUCUUCAGAAGCACUUACAAAUCAAGGA